RNAcentral lists this ribosomal RNA (557 nucleotides) under uncultured Devosia sp. RNAcentral describes it as "bacterial SSU rRNA". It matches the Rfam family "Bacterial small subunit ribosomal RNA", at positions 102 to 694 of the family's 1533-position model. Lineage: Bacteria; Pseudomonadati; Pseudomonadota; Alphaproteobacteria; Hyphomicrobiales; Devosiaceae. The record is from RNAcentral.
ACGGGUGAGUAACGCGUGGGAAUCUACCUAGUUCUACGGAACAACAGAGGGAAACUUCUGCUAAUACCGUAUACGCCCUACGGGGGAAAGAUUUAUCGGAAUUAGAUGAGCCCGCGUAAGAUUAGCUAGUUGGUGGGGUAAUGGCCUACCAAGGCGACGAUCUUUAGCUGGUCUGAGAGGAUGAUCAGCCACACUGGGACUGAGACACGGCCCAGACUCCUACGGGAGGCAGCAGUGGGGAAUAUUGGACAAUGGGCGCAAGCCUGAUCCAGCCAUGCCGCGUGAGUGAUGAAGGCCUUAGGGUUGUAAAGCUCUUUCAGUGGGGAAGAUAAUGACGGUACCCACAGAAGAAGCCCCGGCUAACUUCGUGCCAGCAGCCGCGGUAAUACGAAGGGGGCUAGCGUUGUUCGGGUUUACUGGGCGUAAAGCGCACGUAGGCGGAUUGGUCAGUUAGAGGUGAAAUCCCGAAGCUCAACUUCGGAACUGCCUUUAAUACUGCCAAUCUAGAGUCCGGAAGAGGUGAGUGGAACUCCUAGUGUAGAGGUGGAAUUCGUAGA